This 817-nucleotide ribosomal RNA is filed under the name uncultured Sphingobacteriia bacterium. RNAcentral describes it as "bacterial SSU rRNA". It matches the Rfam family "Bacterial small subunit ribosomal RNA", at positions 54 to 866 of the family's 1533-position model. The record is from RNAcentral. Lineage: Bacteria; Pseudomonadati; Bacteroidota; Sphingobacteriia.
CAUGCAGUCGAGGGGCAGCAUGACUGUAGCAAUACAGUUGAUGGCGACCGGCAAACGGGUGCGGAACACGUACAGAACCUUCCUUCGAGCGGGGAAUAGCCCAGAGAAAUUUGGAUUAAUACCCCAUAGUAUUGCGGAGUGGCAUCACUUUGCAAUUAAAGAUUUAUCACUCGAAGAUGGCUGUGCGGCUGAUUAGCUAGUUGGCGGGGUAACGGCCCACCAAGGCAACGAUCAGUAACUGGUGUGAGAGCACGACCAGUCACACGGGCACUGAGACACGGGCCCGACUCCUACGGGAGGCAGCAGUAAGGAAUAUUGGUCAAUGGACGCAAGUCUGAACCAGCCAUGCCGCGUGGAGGAUGAAGGUCCUCUGGAUUGUAAACUUCUUUUAUCUGGGACGAAAAAAGGUCUUUCUAGAUCAACUGACGGUACCAGAUGAAUAAGCACCGGCUAACUCCGUGCCAGCAGCCGCGGUAAUACGGAGGGUGCAAGCGUUAUCCGGAUUCACUGGGUUUAAAGGGUGCGUAGGUGGAUUGGUAAGUCAGUGGUGAAAUCUCCGGGCUUAACUCGGAAACUGCCAUUGAUACUAUCAGUCUUGAAUACCGUGGAGGCCAGUAGAAUAUGUCAUGUAGCGGUGAAAUGCUUAGAUAUGACAUAGAAUACCAAUUGCGAAGGCAGCUGGCUACGCGAAUAUUGACACUCAGGCACGAAAGCGUGGGGAUCAAACAGGAUUAGAUACCCUGGUAGUCCACGCCCUAAACUAUGGAUACUCGACAUACGCGAUACACUGUGUGUGUCUGAGCGAAAGCAUUAAGUA